Long non-coding RNA from Phlebotomus papatasi, 1020 nucleotides. RefSeq lists it as uncharacterized. Lineage: Eukaryota; Metazoa; Arthropoda; Insecta; Diptera; Psychodidae. The transcript has 3 exons. The record is from RefSeq and is a predicted model, not a curated record.
AUAUGAAACGGGACCAUAUAAUAAAUUUAACUUUACAGCAAAUCAGUCAUUGAAACAAAGUGCACUAUGAAAUAUUUCAACCUUUUUUAUAUUCUUGUAAUAAUACUUUCUCUUAGUUUGAUUUCGUCUGGAAAACAACCGGAGAAGAGCCAGAACACAAAAGACAAGCACCACAAAAAAAAGGCCAAACUUGUCAGUAGUUUCGCCUCUUGGUUAUUCAGAAGAAAUCGAUCUCUAAAAUGUUUUGAAAACUCCUGAGAAUGUAAAGAAUCUCAGCUAGUGCACCUAACCUACACCGCGAGAAAAUUCCCGUGCGUUGCACGAUCCCAAUAUUUUAAAAACUAGGUAAAACCGCUCAGUUUUUAAAAUGGCGAAGUGCAUAUUAUUCAAAAACAUAGGAAAAAUUUAGUCAUUGUGAAACUGGUAUCGUACAAAGUAUGAGCACUUCCCCUAAGCAGAUUUAUAUAAUAUAAUUCUCAACGUACAAUAUCUAUUGCUUUGUAAACAUGUUUUCAACAUUUUAGUGAGAGUAAUGAAACUAAGAUUUAGUUAUAUCGCUCAUUCUUAUAGACAGGUUCAAAAUUCUAAAACAAAAGUUAUUGUGCGCUGGGAAAAAAGACAUAUAACAUGCAAUUCCAGCCCAAAACAAAACUCUUUUAACCCUUUGACGAUUGGAACACCGAUGUCCCAUAUAAAGAGAAUAAAUUUUCCUGACUACCUAAAGUUUUUUUCUUAUGUUUGUAAAUAAUUGCAAAGUAGAAGGUUGAAGAGGAAUCUAGAAUAUUUUUUGCAAAUUUCCAGCUAUUUGCUUUUAUAAUAAAAAUUUCAAGCCUCAGUCUCUUUUAUUUUAGAAAAUAGUGAAUAUUGGAAUUUUCGUUUUAAAAAAUUUUGCUCCAGCCUCCCCUAUUAUUUUUCCGGAGUUCAAGCAAUAAAAAAUCACAAAAUAGUAAAAAUGUAAAAGUAAUUUUGUGUCAAUUAAACCAGACGCUAUCAAAUUUACAAUACAGUAUUUUUUAUUUA